RNAcentral lists this ribosomal RNA (502 nucleotides) under Agathemera crassa. RNAcentral describes it as "partial 16S ribosomal RNA". It matches the Rfam family "Archaeal large subunit ribosomal RNA", at positions 1922 to 2666 of the family's 2987-position model. The record is from RNAcentral. Lineage: Eukaryota; Metazoa; Arthropoda; Insecta; Phasmatodea; Agathemeridae.
CUUUUCUUGGUUUUAUUAGAGAUCUGACCUGCCCAAUGAUUUUUUAAUGGCCGCGGUAUAUUGACCGUGCAAAGGUAGCAUAAUCAUUAGUUUAUUAAUUGUGGACUUGUAUGAAUGGUUGGACGAAAUAUUUACUGUCUCAUAUUAAAUAUAUUGAAUUUAAUUUUUUUGUUAAAAAGCUUAAAUUUUUUUGGAGGACGAGAAGACCCUAUAGAUCUUUAUUAUUUUUAUUUUUAAAUGUUUUGGUUUCUUUUUAUUAAUUUUUAAAAAUUUUUUGGUUGGGGUGACACGGAGAUUUAAUUAACUCUUUUAUAUAAUGUACAAUGGUUUUUGUUUAUUGGAUCUUUUAUUAUUGUUUAUUAGAUUAGAUACCUUAGGGAUAACAGCGUAAUUCUUUUUGAGAGUUCAUAUCGACAAUGGAGAUUGCGACCUCGAUGUUGGAUUAAGAAUAAUUUUGGGUGUAGAUGUUCAAAAGUUAGGUCUGUUCGACCUUUAAAUUCUU